RNAcentral lists this long non-coding RNA (1017 nucleotides) under Theobroma cacao (cacao). Its description in RNAcentral is "long non-coding RNA (TCAC_LNC003002)". Lineage: Eukaryota; Viridiplantae; Streptophyta; Magnoliopsida; Malvales; Malvaceae. The record is from RNAcentral.
UAACCCGGUGAUGACCUAGCCAUGUGCAAGUAGGGAGUGCGCAUGAGCUGGGAAUGAUGAUGAUGGGAUGGUGUGCAUGAUGAUGAUGGGUAUAUGGUUGUAAAUGCAAAUAUGUGAGCAUUUGAUUUGUUGAAAUUUGGGAGUUUACAUGUGUUACAUGUUGCUAUUGUUAUUUUAGCAGGAUGGCUUCUUUUAAGGGAAAAAGGAGACUUUUUCCUUGAUGUUUUGAUCCUCGCUGCAGCGAGAAACUCUCGGGUUUGAGGGCCUUCACCAAACCUGGUUCUCGCUACAACGAGAAACUUUCUGUCCAUUUUGCUAACUUGUGGAUUUUUGCCAUAUUUCUCAUUUCUUUGGUACCAUAGUUGAGCAUGGAUCUUUGUAAAGUGAUUUACUCAUGUGGGGUUUACAUGAGGGGUUUAAAAGAGCCAAAACAAUUGCAUUGUUUUGAGAAAAUGAAUGCAUCAUGAUUUCGUUAAACAUUCCUUAUGGUAUGCUUGUUCACUCACUGAGUUUAUGCUCACCGCUUUCAACUUCAUGUUUUCAAAUUACGAGGCAGCUGGUAACUAGGUCGAGGUACCUUUGUAGACUCGACUAUUGGUAGGUGUCUCGGCAUUUAGUAGCUAUACAUUCGUCAAGUUUCUCCGCUGGACAUCGAGUCUUCAUUUGUUAUGUAUAGACGAACCUAAUGUGAAUUAUUAAGAUACAUGUUGUAGACAGUGUAUAUACACUUGUUUGGUAUGCCAGUAUGAGGGGUAAUGUUCAAUAUUAUUUCGAUUCUAAGUUAUGAUAUAUGACUUAGCAGUUUACGAUGGAAUGAUGAAUGUGUCAGAUUAAUAGGCUUGCUUGGGCUUAGUGGACUACGUCCAUUGGGUCCAUGCGCCAGUCAUGGCCCAAAAUUUGGGUCAUGACAUUUUCUUCCUUAACACUUGUAUCAAUAAAAUAUCAAGUUUAUACUUCAAUGUGGUAUCACCGUAAUAUUUAAAUAUUUACUUACCCACUUUAUUUAAUAAAGACAAG